GUGGAUAUAGCUCAAUGGUAGAGCAACCCAGCAUGAAUUGGGGAGAUGCGGGUUCAAUCCCCCCUGUAUGCA
This 72-nucleotide transfer RNA is filed under the name Puccinia triticina. Its description in RNAcentral is "tRNA-His". It matches the Rfam family "tRNA". From Rfam's summary of the family: Transfer RNA (tRNA) molecules are approximately 80 nucleotides in length. Their secondary structure includes four short double-helical elements and three loops (D, anti-codon, and T loops). The record is from RNAcentral. RNAcentral also lists the same sequence under 1 other name. Lineage: Eukaryota; Fungi; Basidiomycota; Pucciniomycetes; Pucciniales; Pucciniaceae.